AGACCGGAAGGGAGGGGGCGUGGCGAGGAGCCGCGGACGGCCGGCUUCCUGGCUCUGCGGCUGGGCUGAGGGGCCGGCUGCGUACAGUAGUGACGGCCGCGCGGGACCGGUCACAUGACCAUAGCGGCUGCCUGUACAGUAAGAACCCAAUAUGGCAGCAGCGGUAGCAGUGGCAACGGCAGCAGGAGGAUCGGCCGCCCCAUAAACCCCCCCGCGCACCUCCCCCGCCGCUUCCUCUGCUAGGUUGCUCCUCCGGCCUGACUUCCCCUUUCUCCCACCUUUCCCGGCACCGCGGGAAAAGCAGCACAGGGCAGAGAAGGCAGGGAGGGCGGCCGGAGCCGGGACACGGGAACCUCCUAGUCCAGUUCAAGACCCGACAUGAGGGAAAAGGGCCGUAGGAAGAAGGGCAGGACCUGGGCGGAGGCCGCCAAGACGGUAAGGGGGAGGGAGCGAAGGGGAAGGCCGGGAGGAUUUCGUUCCCUUGCUGCCCGCCGGUCUCGGGGGAAGGGAGGUCACUGGCCCCGCGACCCCGCUGAAGGCACAAAACCGCGCCGAGCAGGCGGCAGUUAGGGUCGGGGUUGCGGUCCCUGUGGGAAUGGAGGCGCUAGCAAAAGGGGCUCGCCGUCAGGCUGCGGCUUCUCCCAGCAUCUGUGACGAGUCCUCUUGGUGUUUGGAGGCUGUCUGGGGUCAUGUCACUGUCGCCCCCACUCUUUGGUAGCCUCCGCCCCGGCAAGGGGAAGUCUGUUGUGCUUGCACAGUAACCGGUUCUUCUCCCUUGUGCGCCUGGAGAGCCCCCAUUGGAUGCAGACAGGAGAAGGCUUGUGCGUGCAUCUAGCUCCGGAAAGAAGAAGGGAGCGCCGGAGCUUGUAGAAUUUACCCUCUACAGCCGACAUUCUGCCUGACCCCCUGCUUAUCUGGCUCUCGGAGCCGACGUGAGGUCACGAGGCUUUUGUUUUUGUUUUCUGUUGGAGCUGAAAGUGCUGGAGGUGUUUAGAAACGAAGUAACAGGUGGGACUUGUAGAAUAUAUAUAUAUUUUUUUUCAGUUUCCGUAGAGACCUACUCUGAACAAGGCAGCAAUGCAUGGUGGGACGUGUAGUUUACCCGUCCUUCACUUUUCUGUAGCCAAAGUGAUGGUGGCCCGCAAAUUGUGAUUCUUGGGCAAAACAUUUUUUCCCCCAAUUUUGUCAUAAGGAAAUGUAGAGGUAGGUUUUUAAAAAAGGAUAUUUAGUCAGAACUUUUUCUGUGUUUUACGAAGAAAAAAAAUAAAAAGCGUGUAUGUAUGUAAAAAUAAAAAGGGAGAAAGUGAAGUUUAUUCCUUCGUUGAGGGUGCAACAGAAAAAUAGCAGAGCAUUAAACAAUAGCAUUUCAGUGUUGGAAAGUGAGAGGUGUUCAUCUCUUUAAUACAUGGACAGCACACUAAAUGUCGGAUGGUUAUUUAUUAAAUAAGUUUUUUUCCCCCUGAAUACAAAAGUAAUAAAUAGCCGAUUGUGGUGGUGCAUGACUGUAAUCUAAGGAGUUUGGGAGGCUGAGGGAGGAGGAUGGCAAGAUGGAGGACAGCCUCAGCAACUUAGACCCUGUUUCAAAAUAAAAAGGGCUGGGGAUGUGGCUCAGUGAUUAAGUGCCCUUGGGUUCAAUCCCCUAUACCAAAAAAAAAAAAAAAAAGUUAAAUAUUUAUUGUGGUGAAAUUUAGAAAAUUAUAGAAAAGCACAAAGAAGAAAAAAAAUCACGUAUUUUUACCCAUCAGUUGUAUCUUAAUAUUUUGGGUAUAUUGCUAUAGUCAUUUAUUUCCCCAAAUCUGGGUCCUAUUGUUUAUUCAAUCUGGUGUAUUUAUUUUGUGAACCUUAUGCAUUUGUUUUGUAAAUUUCGUGUGUUAGAGGGUUAAUGAGCUUUCAACUUAUGUUUGUUUUAGCUGGAAAUAUGAAAAAAGUGCAGAAAUAACUAGUACUUUUUAUUGUUUUCACAUAUCUUUUUGUGUGACUGUGCUGGUAGUUUCCUUAUAAAAGAUAAAACUCUAAAAAUAAUUUUUGAUAGUUGUAUUUCUAUUUUUUUUUAAAAAAUACCUUUAUUUAUUUAUUUUUAUGUGGUGCUGAGGAUCAAACCCAGGGCCUUGCACAUGCUAGGGGAGCGCUCUACCGCUGAGCCACAACCCCAGCCCCGCUAUUUUGCCUUCUACUUCAUGGUUAUCUCACAGUGUCUGUUAAUAAAAGAAAUAUGGGCUGGGUUGGCAGUGCAUGACUCCGGAGGCUGAGAUAGGACGACUACAAGUUCGAGGCCAGCUUGGGUAACUGAGCAAGACCCUGUUUCAAAAAGAAGGUAAAUUUUAAUUGUAACUAGGCAGAUCCCUAAUUAUGUUGAUUCAUUUUAAGUCUCUAGAAAAAAAAUAUGGGCAGAGGGUGUACCAGGGAAUGGACCCAGGUGCACUUUACACUUAGGUACUUCUCCAGACUGCCCUCCCACAACCUUUUUUUUUUGUGUGUGUGUGUGAGACAAGGUCUCCCUACAUUUUGGAGGCUGGCCUUGAACUUGUGAUCCUCCUGCCUAAACCUCCAGAGUUGCUGGGAUUACAGAUGUUUGCCCAACCUGUAUUUGUAUUAAGUUUGUAGUUGUAUCAGAAUCUCUAAGAGGUAGGGUGCAGUUUGAAAAAGUGUAUUCAGCAAACUUACUAUUUGUAUGUAUGUAUGUAUUUAUUUAUUUUUGUUCUGGGGAUUGAACCCAUGACCAUUCACAUGUUGGGCAGAUGCUCUAUCACUGAGCUUCAUUCUCAGAUUGUUUUGUUUUGUUUUGGUUCAGGGUCUUUCCUGGGUUGCAUAGGCUGGCCUUGAAUUUAUAAUCCUGCUUUAGCCUCCUGAGCUGCUAGGUUUGCAGGAGUGUGCCAUCAUGCCUGGUCUUUUUCUUUUCUUUUUUUUCCAGUAGUGAGAAUUGAACCCAAGUGAGAAUUGAACCGAGCUACAUUCCCUAUUCUUUCUUUUUUUUUUUUAGUAUUCCAUUUUUUUUGGAUAUGUCAUCAUUUAAAAAAUUGAUCCUUAAUUAUGAGAAAUAGGUCAUUUAUAGUUUGUUUCCUCUGGUAUCAUUCUUGUAUAUGUAUGUAUACAUGUAUAUGUGUAUUUGUGUGAAUGGAAUAGUUAGGAUAAAGAUUACUUUAGCUGGCAGGGUGUCACAUGUCUGUAAUCCUAGCUAUUUGAGAGAUUGAAGCAGGGAGAUCGCAAAUUUUAAGGCCAGUCUGGGCAAUUAGCAAGACCUUAUCUCACAAUAAAAUUUAAAAAGAGUGGGGAUGUAGGUCAGUGGUAGAGUGCUUGCCUAGGAGGCCCUGGGUUUGAUUCCCAGUGGAGGGCCAGUAAUGUACACUUGAACUUGAAAUAUGUCUUUACAUAUCUUUAAAACUUUGUGCCUUGGGACUGGGGAGGUGGCUCAAGCAGUAACGCGCUUGCCUGGCAUGCGUGGGGCACUGGGUUCUAUCCUCAGCACCACAUAAAAAUAAAUUAAAGAUGUUUGUGUCCACCGAAAACUAAAACUAAAACAAAAACAAAAAACCCCCAACUUUGUGCCAAUUUGUACACCGCCCCCCCCACCGCCGCCCUGUUUGUUGUUGUUGUUGUUGUUGUUUUUUGGUGGUACUGGAGAGUGAACCUAGGGGCACUUUAUCACUGUGCUAUAUCCCCAAUUCUUUUAGAAAUUUAUUUUGAGAUAAGGUCUUGUUAAGUUGUUGAGGCUGGCCUUGAACUUGAGGUUCUUCUGCCCCAGCCUCUCAAGUCACUGGAGUUACUGGGAUUAUAGGUAUCUUCCAAAAAUUUGAAAUUUCCUUUUUCUUCUCCAGUUUUUCCUGUAGUCCAAAGAGUAUCUAUCUUAUUCUUGGCAUUUUCAUACAGUAACAAAGCAGUUUUUCAAUUGUUUUGUUCAGUAAAACUUGAUGGAAACUUGAUCUGCUAUCAGAUGUGGUGACCACUAGUCAUAUGUGUUCCUUGAGCACCUAAAAUGUGGCCAGUGUGACUAAAGAAUUGUAUUUUAAAUUUUACUUAAUUUUAAUUAUGUAAAGUUCAUGCAGCCACAUUUGUCUGUGAUACAGAUGUAAAGUAACUUCCUAUGCUAACUAUUUGUAUUUUUUAUUUUUUUCCAGUAAACUUGUGUGUUAAGAUCACUUGUCUCUCUUCCCACCUUCACUCCCUAUCCUGGUCUUUUUCCCACUAAUUUGUUUGUUUGUUUCUUUUUUCUUUUCUUUCUUUCUUUUUUUUUUUUUUUAGUACUGAGGAUUGCACUUCAGGUCCAUGUCCCCAGUCCUUUUUAUUUUUUAUUUUUUUAUUUUUAUUUUUUUAUAUUUAUUUAUUUUUUAGUUUUCGGCAGACACAACAUCUUUGUUUGUAUGUGGUGCUGAGGAUCGAACCCGGGCGGCACGCAUGCCAGGCGAGCGCCCUACCGCUUGAGCCAUAUCCCCAGCCCUUUAUUUUUUAUUUUGAGACGGGGUCUUGCUAAGUUGCUCAGGGCCUUGCUAAAAAGUCUUUGUGAAUAAAAGUAACUAGCCUUUUGUCAUGUGUGUUGCAGAUUGAUUUCCUUGUUUUGCCUUUUGCCUUGAUUUAUGGAGUUGUGUUUUUCUUUUGCUGCCCCUACAUUUUUUGUUUGUUUGCUUUUUUAGUAUUGGAAUCAAACCUAUGGACGCUUCACCACUGAAUUAUGUCCCAACCCUUUUUAUUUUUUAUUUUUGGGUACCAGGGAUUGAACUCAGGGGCACUCAAGCACUGAGCCACAUCCCCAGCCCUAUUUUGUAUUUUAUUCAAGAGACAGGGUCUCAAUGAGUUGCUUAGUGUUUCUGUUGCUGAGGCUUGCUUUGAACUCGCGAUCUUCCUGCCUCAGCCUCCUGAGCUGCUGGGAUUACAGGUGUGCUCCACCGAGCCUGGCCAGCCCUUCUUAUUUUGAGACAGGUUCUCACUAAGUUGUUUAGUUACCUCAUUAAUUUGCUGAGGCUGGCCUUGAAUUUAUUAUUAUCCUGGCUUAACCUCCUGAGUUAGGCUGGCACCAUGGCUCUGGCUUGCCCAAGCAUUUUUAAUGUUAAUAUAAACAAAUUGAUCAAUAUUUACCUUUUAUUCUUUUUUUAUUUUAGGUCCUGUUAAGAAAGGUUUCUCCCACUCAAAGUUCUAACCUAAGUGGAUUUUGGGAAAUGUCCAUGAUAAUUCUUCUGACUGCCUGACAGUACUGAAAUUGAUUUGUAUUGAAUUCACAUGAACUUGGUCUUGGGCAUCAGAGGGCACUGUAUGACUUUUUCUUUCUUUUUGUGUACUGCUGGGGAUUGAAUCCAGUGGUACACUACUACUGAGCUGUAUCCAAAGCCCAUUUUAUCUUAUUUAUUUAUUUAAUUAUUUAAAAAAUAUUUUUAGUUGUAUGUGGACAUAAUACCUUUAUUUAUUUUUAUGUGAUGCUGAAGAUAGAACCCAGUGUCUCACAUAUGCUAGGCAAGCACUUCUACCACGGAGUCACAACUCCAGCCGCUUUAUUUUUAUUUAUUUAUUUAAAAUAUUUUUUUAGUUGGCAGUGGGCCUUUUAUUCUUAUUUAUUUAUAUUUGGUGCUGAGAAUCAAACCCAGUGCCUUACACAUGCUAGGCAAGUGCUCUGGCACUGAGCUAUAAUCGUAGCUCACAUAUUAUUUUAUUUAUUUUUAAAAUUUGUUCAUUCAUUUAUUUAUUUAUUUACUUAUUUAUUUACUUAUUUGUUAAUUAUGUGGUGCUGAGGAUUGAACCCAGCGUCUUGCACAUACUAAGCAGGCAGUCUACCACUUAGCCACAACCCCAGCCCACCCCAUUUUAUUUUUUGGGAUAGGUUCUCACUAACUUGUCCAGGCUGACUUUGAAUUUUGAUCUUACUGCCUCAGUCUCCCAAGUAGAUGGGAUUAUAGGCAUGUGCCACCACACCUGGCUAAGACUUAUUAAUUUUAGUGUUUUCUUAGUUGAUCCAUAUUUUGGCAAAAGUUACGUUAUGAAAGACAUUUCAUGUGAAAAUUCCUUGGCCUCUGACAGUAGUAGCUGAUAUUACAUUUAGAACAGCUUUCAUUGGAGUUUACCAUUUGGGAUGGCCCCUAUCAUCUUGAAUCUUUAGUUCAUUGAUAUUUGAAUUAUUUAAUACAUGGGUUAGCUAUAUUCAAUUUCAAAUAAAGGGUUCAAGAGGCUGGGUAUAGUGGUGCACGCCUGUAAUCCCAGCCGCUUGGAAGGUGUGACAAGAGGAUCCAAAGUUCAAAGCCAGCCUCAGUAAUUUAUCAAGGCCCCCAGCAACUUAGUGAGACCCUGUAUCAAAAUAAAAACUAAAAAGGGCUGGAUAUCUGGCUCUGUGCUUAAGUGCCCCUGGGUUUAGUCCCUGGUACUGAAAUAAAUAAAAUGUUCAACGGUGUUAAUGACAUUUCUUUUAAAAAUAUUGUUAGUUAUAGAUGGACAUAAUACCUUUAUUAUUUAUUUAUAUGUGGUGCAGAGGAUUGAACCUAGUGCCCCACACGUGCUAGGCAAGUGCUAUACUACUGGGCUACAACCCAGGCCUUAAUGACAUUUCUAAAUAGUAACACAACAUUUAAAAAUAUGUUGCUAUUGGGACUGGGGCUGUAGCUAAGUGGCAGAGUGGUUGCCUAGUAUGUGUGAGGCACUGGGUUUGAUCCUUAGCCCUGCAUAAAAAUAAACAAAUAAAAUAAAGGCAUGCUGUCCAUACACAACUAUCAAAAAAUUAAAAAAAAAAUAUAUAUAUAUAUAUAUAUUGCUAUUUGACAGAAUAAUGAUUAAUUUCAUAUUUGACUUGAGAGGUUCUGCCAAAUUUUCUAAGUUUAUUUACUUAUUUUGGUACUAGGGAUUGAACCCAAGGAUGCUUAAACACUGAGUGACAUCCCCAACCCUUUAUUCUCUUUAAUUGCUUAGGGGCUUGCUAAGUUGCUGAGGCUGGCUUUGAAAUCACUAUCUUCCUGCCUCAGCCUCCUGAGCCUCUGGAGUCACAGGUGUGUGCCGCUGUGCCUGGCCUUUCUAAGUUUAAUUUGGAUAUAUCCAUGAAAUAUAUUAAGGUGUUGUAUGUUAUGAAGAUUUUUCCUUUCAAGUACAUUUGUGUAUUUUUCUAUGAUAUGGAUGAACUACAAGAUAUAUAGAAAGUAAUAUAUAUAAAUUUUUUUUGGUACAAGAGGUUGAAUCCAGGGGCACUUUACCACUGAGCUAUAUAUUCCUAGCUCUCUUUAUUUUUUUAUUUUGAGACGGGGUCUUGCUAAGUUGCUUAGAGCUUUGCUAAGUUGCUAAGGAUGACCAUGAAUCUGAAAUCCUGCCUCAACCUCCUGAGUCACUAGGAUUACAGACAUGAGCCAUAGUGCACCGCUGAUGUUUUUGUUAAAUUAAGAAAAUGCAANCACUGAGCCACAUUCCCAGCUCUAUUUCGUAUUUCAUUUAGAGACGUGGUCUCACUGAGUUGCUUAAUGCCUCACUUUUGCUGAGGCUGGCUUUGAACUCACCAUCCUCCUGUGUCAACCUCCCCAGCUUCUGGUAUUACAGGUGUGUGCCACCAUGCCUGGCAAAAGGGACAAUUUUUAAAUAGCAAUUUGUGAAUAGCCUUAACAAUAGAUUACCCUAUAUAGGAAAACUACAUAAUUAUUAGCUGGUUAUUAACAUGAAUUUUGAAUCAUACAAAUCUGGAUUUGAUGUUGCCUUUACUAUUUGUUGUGUCAUCUUGCACAAGUUGUUUAAAUGAGUGUACAAACAUUAAUGUGUAAGAAUCUCUAGGGGCACUGGGGUUGUGGCUCAGUGGUAGAACGCUUGCCUAGCAUAUAUAAGGCACAGGGUUCGAGUCUCAGUACCACAAAUAAAUAAAUAAAAUAAGUAAACUUAAAAAAACAAAAAGAAUCAUCAGGGGAUCUUGUUAUACAGCUCUAGAUUCAUUUGGUUUGUGAUGUGGCCAGAGAUUCUGUACCUUUUUGUGUGUUUGUGUGAUGGGAUGUUGCUAUGUUGCCCAGGCUGGCCUUGAACUCGUGAUCUUCCUGCCUCAGGAUCUUCUUGCCUCAGCCUCCUGAUUUGCUGGGAUUACAGGCAUGUGCCACCACACCUCACUGAGAUUCUGCAUUUCUAACAAGUUCCCAGGUGAUGUUGGUGCUGCAGUCCAAGGACCUGGAGUUGUAAGGCUUUUUUUUUUUUUUUUUUUUUUAAUUUUUUUUUNNNNNNNNNNNNNNNNNNNNNNNNNNNNNNNNNNNNNNNNNNNNNNNNNNNNNNNNNNNNNNNNNNNNNNNNNNNNNNNNNNNNNNNNNNNNNNNNNNNNNNNNNNNNNNNNNNNNNNNNNNNNNNNNNNNNNNNNNNNNNNNNNNNNNNNNNNNNNNNNNNNNNNNNNNNNNNNNNNNNNNNNNNNNNNNNNNNNNNNNNNNNNNNNNNNNNNNNNNNNNNNNNNNNNNNNNNNNNNNNNNNNNNNNNNNNNNNNNNNNNNNNNNNNNNNNNNNNNNNNNNNNNNNNNNNNNNNNNNNNNNNNNNNNNNNNNNNNNNNNNNNNNNNNNNNNNNNNNNNNNNNNNNNNNNNNNNNNNNNNNNNNNNNNNNNNNNNNNNNNNNNNNNNNNNNNNNNNNNNNNNNNNNNNNNNNNNNNNNNNNNNNNNNNNNNNNNNNNNNNNNNNNNNNNNNNNNNNNNNNNNNNNNNNNNNNNNNNNNNNNNNNNNNNNNNNNNNNNNNNNNNNNNNNNNNNNNNNNNNNNNNNNNNNNNNNNNNNNNNNNNNNNNNNNNNNNNNNNNNNNNNNNNNNNNNNNNNNNNNNNNNNNNNNNNNNNNNNNNNNNNNNNNNNNNNNNNNNNNNNNNNNNNNNNNNNNNNNNNNNNNNNNNNNNNNNNNNNNNNNNNNNNNNNNNNNNNNNNNNNNNNNNNNNNNNNNNNNNNNNNNNNNNNNNNNNNNNNNNNNNNNNNNNNNNNNNNNNNNNNNNNNNNNNNNNNNNNNNNNNNNNNNNNNNNNNNNNNNNNNNNNNNNNNNNNNNNNNNNNNNNNNNNNNNNNNNNNNNNNNNNNNNNNNNNNNNNNNNNNNNNNNNNNNNNNNUUUUUUUUUUUUUUUUUUUUUUUUAAUAUUUUUCUAGUUGUUGAUAGACCUUUAUUUUAUUUAUUUAUAUGCAGUGCUGAGAAUCAACUCAAUUCCUCACACAUGCCAGGCAAAUGCACUACCACUGAGCCCUAGCCCCAGCCCUAGCCCUGGCUUUAACACUGCCAAAGCUUUCAUCAUUUUCCUAAAUUGAAAUGAUAAUGAUAGUAAAACCUACUAUUUUGGGUAUUAAGUGAUGAAGUGAAAGUAUGAAGUUUUAUUUAUUUUUGUAUAAUGCCUGGUAUGUUAUAAGCAUUGUUUGUUAAUAUUUCUGAAAAGUUAAUAAAUAUGUAUCAUUUUUUGUUUCUGAAUGGGAAAAGUAGAUAUUGUAAAGAUGUUAUAUCUUAGCAAAUAAGUGCAGAGAUAUGAGACAGUUGUAAUCAUAAGCCUUUUAACCUCUGGCACACCUCGUUGGCUGUGACUUUCCAGGGUCAUUGUGGGAUCAGAGACUUAAGUGAGCUAUGAACAAGCGAGGGAACUCAGGAAAGAUCCCUCUUCUGCUUUAUACUUCAUUUGCAGGUGUGUCUACCCUAAAUCUAACCCUGUUUUGCCACGUAUCUUCACAUGCUUGGUCUUCCCCCAUGUUAGUAGGGACUCUUAUGUGUGAGUCCAACUGUAUUUUCUUAUUUAUUUGUUUUUGGCCAUGUGUAACAAUAAUAUAAUUUUCAUCUUCUGCUUGUUUUUCUUUUGUGUGAACUGCAAAUUCCCUUUACCAUCCGUUUAUGUUUAUUGAAUACUUAAUGCUUAUUCUGUGCUGUGUGGGAGCCUAUGAGAAACAAUGAACAUAUUGUUCUUGACCUCUUAAGAGUUUGCUAUUUAGUAAGAAGUGGACUAAUAAUUUAGGCAAAAUGUAAUGCAUAUAUGUUUUAUGUUUUGAUUUCUGCCAAAAAUAUUGUUUUCUGUUAUACCUUUAUUUGGUUAUUGAUAUUUAUGAAAGUGUAUUUAAAAAUGUAUUAGUCUUUUUUUUUUUCUGUGUGUGUGGGGGGGGCUGGGGAUUGAGCCCGGGACCUUUUGCAUGUGAGGCAGGCACUCUACCGAGCUAUAUCCCCAGCCCUGUAUUAGUCUUUCGAGAUUAUAGUUUUGGUUGGCAGAAUUUUAAAAUGGUCCCAAGAUUCCAUCCAUAUAUUCCCCUCCGAGUGGAUGGGGAUAAUGAAUAUAAUGGGAUAUAAGUCUUAAUAUUUGGUUAUAUUAUACAGAAAAGAUGAAGGGAUUUUUUUGGGGGGGCAGGGAUUGAAUUUAGAGACACUUAAUCACUGAGCCAUAUCCCCAGCCCUUUUUGUAUCUUAUUUAGUAGUGCCACCUGCUGAUCUGUGCCUAGCAUCCCAAGCACUGAGUUGCUUAGAGCCUCACCAAAUUACCGAGGCUUGCUUUGAACUCACUAUCCUCCUGCCUCAGCCUCCCAAGCUGCUGGGAGUACAGGUGUGUGCAACCAUGCCUGGCUAAGAUGAAGAGAUUUUCUAGGGGUAAUUAUGUUUGACUUUGAUUUGGUGAGCCUAACCCAAUCAGGCAAGCCCUUUCAACAGGAUCUAGAAGUCGGUACAAGAGAAAUUUUGAAGCAGUAGAGGUUUUCUUGCUGGUUUUGAAAAGAAACAAACAGCCCUAUUGUGUGCUGCCAGUGGAGAAGGGCCCUGUAGCAAUGUACACAGGCAACCUUUAGGAGCUGAGUGAGCCAGCAAGAGAAGAGAGCCUGAGUCCUACAACAGAAAGGGACUGAAAUCUGCUGAUAACUAGUAAUAACCAAGGAUCAGAUGAGGUCACAGCCUUAGCUGGUGCUUCCGUUUCUACCUAAUGAGAUUCUAAGCAGAGGACCAGCUAAUCUGUACCCAGCAUCCCAACACAUAGAAAUUGUGAGAUAUUUGAAUCUAAGAUUAGAUAAUAAGACUUAAAGUCAUGGAUAUAUUUUCUGUUGAAGCUGCAUAAUAAUGAACCAACAGUAAAAAAAAAAAAAAAAAAAAAAUUGAAGGGAUAAGGGAGCAGGGUUGGACUUAGAGAAGGUGUUCAAGAUGAUAGAUGCUGACAUUUGUGGGUGAAUAAUAGAUAAGGUCCUUCCAGACAGGGAAGAGCUGAAAAGAAGGUACACUGAAAUGCAGGGUGUGUUUAAUGCACAGUGAAUUUACGUUUGAGGAUUGUGAAGUGUAGUGGAAGAUUAAGCCAGAAAAGGUAUGUUAGGGCCAAAAUGUGGAGGGUUGUGGAAAGUUGAGCUGACUAGUGUUUUUAUUCUAGGAGUAAUGGUUUUAUGGAGGAGGUAAUAUCAUAUCUGUUUUAAACAGAUUGAGUGCUGUAUAGUGUGAGGGAGUAUAUAUUACUUUUCCUGCUCUUCAAAUUUUUCUCAUUUUUGAGUUUUUUUAAAAAAGUUUUAGUUGUGGAUAGACGCACAGUAGCUUUAUUUUAUUUAUUUAUGUAGUGCUGAGGAUUGAACCCCGUGCCUCACACAUGUGAGGCAAGCACUGUACCACUGAGCUAUAAUCCCAGCCUCAAAUUUUUCUCAUUUUUUAAAACUGCUUUACCUUUAUUUACUCAGACUUGUCCAACAGAUUUUUUCUCUCCAAUACUGGGAUUGAACCCAGGGGUGUUCUACCAAUGAGCUACAUUCCCAGCCCUUUUUUAUUUUGAGACAGGGUCUUGCUAAGUUGGUGAGGCUCACCUUGCAUCUCAAUCCUCCUGCUUCAGCCUUCCGAUUCUCUAGGAUUACUGGAGUGUUCCACUGUACCCAGCCUUUUAUGUUCUGCCAGUCUCUUGAUGUUUUUGCAUAUACAAGAGAGUCUUCAGUGCUCUUUAACACAAUAAGAUUCUACCUUUUUUUUUUUUUUAAGGAGACAUACGUUUGGAUAUAUUUUUUUGCAUUGGGGAGAGUGAAUCUAGGGGUGCUUAAUCAUUGAGCUACAUCCCCAGCUCUUUUUUGUAUUUUAUUAGAGACAGGUUCUCACUGAAUUCCUUAGGCCCUUUCUACUUUCCUGAGGCUGGCUUUGAACUCAGGAUCCUCCUGCCUCAGCCUCCCAAGCUGCUGGGAUUAUAGACAUGGGCCACUGUGCCUGGCUCAAAUCCUACCAUUCUUUCUUUCUUUAAUUGUAGAUGGAUACAGUAUCUUUUUAUGUCUUUAUUUUUAUGUGGAGAUGAGGAUCAAACCAGUGCCUCCCACACUCCACCACUGAAUGCCCUAGCUCCAAAUCCUGCCAUUCUUUUUUUUUUUAGUUGUAGUUGGUGUAUAUUGAACCCAGGGUCUCCUACGUGUGAGGGGCUCUACGGCUGAGCCACAACCCCAGCCCAAAUCCUACCAUUCUUAAAGGAAAAACAAAACUCUUUUCCCCAUUUACUCUAGCUCAUGUUGGAUGUUCUUUUUUUUCUGAAUUUCUGCAACACUGUUCAUUUCAUACAUACCAUUGCCAUGUAUAUAUCUCUUGUCUUUAGGUUCAGCUGGUAGAACCAUCAAGGCAGUGUGUUGUACAGCUGUCUUCUGUUUAAAUACUAUGUCUUGGGAUUGUAUACGAUACUGCCUUUGGAAAUCAUGAUACCAUUUGUGAAAACACCAUUAAAUAGUGAUAUAUUUAUUUUUGACAAAAAUUAAGGACAUUUUUGCUAGGAGAAAAACCUGUUAUGAGUUUGUGAUAUAAAAUUGUACUUGGAGGCUGGGCAUGGUGGCACAUACCUGUAAUCCCAGCAGCCCAGGAGGCUGAGGCAGGAGGAUCAUAAGUUCAAAGCCAGCCUCAGCAACAGCGAGGUGCUAAGCAACUCCAUGAGACCUUGUCUCUAAAUAAAUACAAAAUAGGGCUGGGGAUGUGGCUCAGUGGUUGAAUGCCCCUGAGUUCAGUCCCUGGUACCACCCCCGCCCCCCCCCCCCGCAAAAAAAAAAAUUGUACUUGGAGAAUAGAUGUGGGAGGUAAGAAGGAAAACUUUUUCAGUCUUUUAUUUACUAUUGGAUUGCUUUGUGUAUAUUUUCCAGGUCUAUUUUCUAGCAGACAGGUGGCAACGUGACAAAGGUUUAAUGAAAUUGUUUCUCAAACUAAAUUUCCCAUGAAUCUCUUACCAGGAAUUUAUGGGGUUACUUGGGGUUUUAAGUGAAAAUAUUUUAGUUUUGUGUUUUAAUGUUAAUCUUAAAAGUUGAGUAUAUUUGUUACUUGACAUGCGAUUUUGGUGUCAUUUUGCUGUCUGUAUUAAUUGGAGUAUUUUCACAAAGGGAGGUUCAUAGCUAUUAUCAUGGUAUAUCAAUGUAAUGAAGUUUUCACCAUAGCUUAGAUAAGAAAACAUGUUUUGCAUAUUCAAGACAUCUCAAAAGGUCUUGUGUUGUAGCAGCCAAGACCAUGGUGAUGCUGGGUAUGUUGGCACAUCCUGUAAUCCAUGCUACUUAGGAGGCUGAUGCAGGAGAAUUGCAAGUACCAGGCCAUCCUUGGCAACUUAGUGAGAGCCUGUCUCAAAAUUUAAAAAGGACUGGUGUCUGUGUCCCUGGUUUCAUUUCCCCAGGAUGGGGAGUGUUGUGGGAGGUGUGAGAGGAAAGACCAUGGUGAUAUAGUUAACAGCAAAAGUAGCAUUAUUUUAAUUUUUACUUAAAGUUGAAAUUUGUUUUAUAUUUGGGUUUAAUUUAUAAAUUUGUUUUAUUUUUAUAACUAUGUAAGAAUAAGCAAGGUGUAUACCUGCAUAUUAUUGGUGUAUAUGUAAGCAUUAUAAUGUAAAUCAAUGUGUGAAUGGGGUUGAGCUCUGAGAUUAUUUUUUCUUGUAAAUAUUACUGAAAUUUAAGAUAUACUAAAUAUGUUCUGUGAUUUGGUAAUGAUUAAAUUAACAUAUGUUCAAAGCAAUCUUAGCAAAUUUAAAAUUUGUUCAUCUGGGCUGGGGUUGUGGCUCAAUGGUAGAAUGCUCGCCUAGCAUGCACGAGGCACUGGGUUUGAUCCUCAGCACCACAUAAAUGUAAAAUAAAGAUAUUGUAUCUACCUAAAACUAAAAAAUAAAUAUUAAAAUAAAUAAAUAAAUAAAAUUUGUUCAUCCUUCUGUAUUUUAUUUUCCUUUCUUAGCAAAAACGUAAAAACCUCUGUGUUUUUAAGGUCAUCUGCCUCUAAAAACCUUAUUAAAUUUUGAAAUCCAUUUCUCCUUUCCCGUUUCCAGUUCCAGUUAGAUUUUUUUUCUUUUUUUUUUAAUUAGGGAUUGAACUCAGAAGUACUCAACCACUGAGCCACAUCUUAAGUCCUGUUUUGUAUUUUAUUUAGAGAUAGGGUCUCACUGAGUUGCUUAAUGCCUUGCUUUUGCUGAGGCUGGCUUUGAACUCAUGAUCCUCCUGCCUCAGCCUCCCAAGAUGCUGGGAUUACAGGUAUGCACCACCAUGCCUGGCCAUGAUAUAUAGCCCUUUCUCUCUAGUUUCUUGGGCAUUUCUGUCAUGAGUGGUGCUGAUUUUUUUUUUUUUUAAAUAUUCUUUUAAUUGUAGAUGAACACAAUACCUAUUUAUCUUUUUUUUUUUUUGGUACUGGGGACUGAACUCAGGGGCACUUGGCCCCUGAGCCACAUCCCCGGCCCUAUUUAGUAUUUUAUUUAGAGACAGGGUCUCAUGGAGUUGCUUAGCACCUCACAAUUGCUGAGCCUGGCUUUGAACUCGUGAUUCUCUUGUCUCAGCCUCCCGAGCUGCAGGGAUUACAGGCAUGCAUCACCAUACCCGGCUUCCUUUAUUUUUUAUUUAUUUAUUUUUAUGUGGUGCUGAGGAUUGAACCCAGUGCUUCACAUGUGAGGCAAACGCUGUGCUAUUGAGCCACAGUCCCAGCCCAUGGUGCAGAUUUAAAAAAAAAAAAUUAUUUAUUUUUGAUAUUGGGGAUUGAACCAAGGGGCAGCCUUCCACUGAGCGCUAUGCUUUUUUUUUUUAAUGCAUUUAUUUAUUUUUAUAUGGCGCUGAGGGUUGAACACUGCCAGUGCCUCACGUGCGGGGCAAGCACUCUAUCAUUGAGCUACAGUUUCAGCCCAAACCCUAUGCUUUUUUAUUUUUUUAUUUUGAGACAGAAUCUUGCUAAGUUGCCCAAGCUGGUUGAACUUGUGAUCCUCCUCCUGCCUUAGCCUUCCAAGUUGCUGGGAAUACAGGUGUGUACUACCACGCCCAGCAUGGGUGCUGAAUUUUUAAAAAAUAUUUAUUUUUUAGUUGUAGUUGGACACAAUACCUUUAUUUAUUAAAAAAUUUAGUUGUUGAUGGGCCCUUUUUUUUUUUUUUUUUUUAGAAUUUAUUUAUAUGUGGUGCUGAGAAUCAAAUGCAGUGCCUCACACGUGCUAGGCCAGUGCUCUGCCACUGAGCCACAACCCCAGCCCUAUUUAUUUAUUUUUAUGUGGUGCUGAGGAUUGAACCCAGGGCCUCACAUGUGCUAGGCGAGCUCUCUACUGCUGAGCCACAACCCCAGCCCAGGUGCUGAUUUUUGUUGAAGGCUUUCUCUACAUCUUUUGAGAUGACUGUGUGAUUUUUGUCCUUAAUUCUAUUUGUGUGAAUUAACAUUUAUUGAUUUGUGUAUGUUAAAGAAUCCUUGCAACCUUGAAUGAGACCAACUGGUCAUGAUGUACAGUCUUCUUAAUACGUUGUUGAAUAUGAUUUGUUAAUAUUUUUCUAAGGAUUUUUGCUAAAAAUUUUUAAAUUUUUAAAUCCCUCCCUUUGAUUUAUCAGGGAUAUUCAUUUGUAGUUUUCUUUCCUUGUUGUGUCCUCUGGUUUUGGUAUCAGGGUGAUACUGGCUUUAUAAAAUGAGUUUGGAAGUGUUCUACCCCUUUCAAUUUCAUGGAAUAAUUUGAGGAGCACUGGUAUUGGCUCUUCUUUAAGGAUGUGGUAGGAAUCUGCUGAGAAUACAUUUGCUUUUUCCUUGUUGGAAGAGUUUAUUAGCACUUCUAUUUCAUUGCUUCUUAUUGGUCUGUUUAGGUUUUCUGUGUUCUCUGGAUUCAAUUUUGGCAGGUCAUAUGUGUCUAGAAACAUAUCCAUUUCUUCUAGGCUUUCCAAUUUAUUGGAGUAUAAGUUUUCAUAAUAGCCUGAAUGAUCCUCUGGAUCAAAGUCUUGUGGAUUUCUGAGAUGUUUGUGGUGAUUUUUCUUUAUCUCUAAUUGUAUUAAUUAUUAAUAUGGGUCUUCUUUUUCUUUUGGUUAGUUUGGCUAAGGACUUGUUUAUCUUUUCAAAGAACAACACUUUAUUUCAUUGAUCCUUUGUAGUUUUUUAUUCUCUAUUUCAUAGAUUUCAGCUAUUAUAUUAACGAUUUCCUUUACUGGUUUUGGAAUUUUUUUUUUGGAAUUGGUAUUUUUCAAGGGCCAUUAGAUGCAUCAUUAUAUAGUUUUUUUGGGGAUCUUAUUUUCUUAUGUAGGCCAACUAUAAACUUUCCUUUUAGAAACACCAUCAUAAUGUUCCAGAGGUUCCAGUGUGUUACAUCACUAUUUUGGCUUGAUACUAAAAAUUUUUAAAUCCCUCCCCUUGAUUUCUUCUAUCACCCAUUCAUCAUUCAGACAUAUUUUAUUCAAUUCAUGUGUUUGUAUAAUUUCUGUAGUUUAUUUUGCUGUUGGUUUCUAAUUUUUUUAAUUCCUAAUUUCAUUCUCUUUUGAUCAGAUAAGAUGCAAGGAAUUAUAUGAUUCUUUCUUUCUUUUUUAAAAAUUUGCUAAGAGUUGUAUCGUGGCCUAAAUUUUGGUCUGUUUUGGAAAUGGUUCCAUGAGCAGCCAAGAAGAAUAUAUAUUUGGCUGUUUGCAUGAAAUAUUCUAUAGAUAUGUGUUAAGUUCAUUUGCUUCAUCAUACUUUUUAGGUCUGCAGAGUCUUUACCGAGUCGAUGUCUACGUGACUUAUCUAUUGGUGAGAGGCAAGUUGAAAUCACCCAGUAUACUCAUGUUUGAGUCAUAAAUAUUUGUUAUUGUUAUAUCUUUUUGUAGGAUUUUUUCCUUAACCAGUACAAAGUGGCCUUUUUUUUUUUUUGUCUUUUCUGAUUAAUUUUGAGUUGAAGUCUGCUUUGUCAGAUACUCCUGCUUGUUUUCAGGCUCUCUUUGCAUGGUAUAUCAAUUUUUAUCCUUUCACUUUCAGCCUUUUGCUAUCUUUGCCUAUGAGUCUCUUGCAAACAACCUAUAGUUCGGACUUGUUUUCCAAUCUAUUCUAUGUGCUGCCUAUGUUUUUUAAUUUGAGAGUUAGAACCAAUUUGAUAUAUGCAGCAGUUAUCCUUCAAAAUCAUAGUAGAAAUAAAAACCUUCCAUGAUAAAUAGAAAAAUUUUCAGGGAAAAGCCUGAAAGAAUUAGGAAUUUAUUACAAGAUAUGAAUGACAGAUUCAACAAGGAGAUAGCAAUAUUGUAGAAGAACCAAACAGAAAUUUUGGAAAUGAAAGGUAAAUAAAAUGUUUAGUUUUUUGUCUAUACAGAAGACAGAAUCUCAGAGCUGGAAGACAAAGUGGCUUGACCUUGAACAGUCAGACACUAUUUAAAAAAAAAAAAAGUAACCAUGACCAGAAUAUGCAAGAACCCUGGAACAAUAUUAAGAGAUAAAAUUUAAGAACCAGUGGAAUCAAAGAGGGUUGAAAUGUGGGAUAAUGGCAUGGGUAACCUCUUCAGGGAAAUAAUAAUGGAAGAGUUUCCAAAUAUUGGGAAUUAAGUGGACAUCCAGAUACAGGAAGCAUUGAAAACUCCAAAUAGACAGAAUCCAAAAGAAACUCUCCAUGACAUAUUAAAAUUGCCUAAUAUAUAAAACAAGAAUAGAAAUUUAUUUUUUAAAAACAUUUAAAAAAUAUCUAUCUAUUUAUUUUAGUUUUAGGUGGGCACAAUAUCUUCAUUUUAUUUUUAUGUGGUGCUGAGGAUCAAACCCAGUGCCUCACGGCAUGCUAGGCGAGUGCUCUACCACUGAGCCACAACCAUAGCCCAAGAAUAGAAAUUUAAAAGCCUCAAGAGAAAAAAAAAAAAAAUCAGGUCACAUUUAGUGGGAAGCCAAUCAGAAUUACUUCUGAUUUUUCACCACAAAUUCUGAAAUCCAGAAGGGCUUGGAAUGCUGUGUUCCAAGUACUGAAAGAAAAUAACUUUUUCAGAGUAGUUAUGUAAUUUUGCAUUCCCACUACCAAUAUAUGUGAAAUUCAUUUGUGCUGUAUCUUAAUAUUUCUUUUUUUGGUCUUGUGGUUGAACCCAAUACCUCAGGCAAGUGCUAGUAGGCAAGCACCCUAUCAGUGGAUUAUAUCCCUAAUCCUUGGGUUUAUUUUCUUGCUGUUGUAUAGUUUGCUUUUUUUUUUGGGGGGGGGGUACCAGGGAUUGAACUCAGGGCCACUUGGCCACUGAGCCACAUCCUCAGCCCUAUUUUAUAUUUUAUUUACUUACUUACUUAUUUAUUUUAGUUGUAGAUGGACAUGAUACCUUCACUUUAUUUGUUUUCAUUUUUAUGUGGUGCCGGGGAUCGAACCCAGUGCCUCUCAUGCUAGGUAAGUGCUCUACCACUGAGCCAAAACCAACGUCCUUGUAUUUUAUUUAGAGACAGGGUCUCACUGAGUUGCUUAGCACCUCGCUUUUGCUGAGGCUGGCUUUGAACUCGCGAUCUUCCUGCCUCAGCCCCUGAGCCGGGAUUAUGGGCAUGUGCCACCAUGCCUGGCUUUGCUGUUGUGUUUUAAUUCUUCAUGUAUUCUAGAUAGAAGUCCUUAGUUGCAUAUGUGAUUUAUGAAUAUUUUCUUUCUGAUUUUAGGGAAUAGUUCUUCAUAAUUAAUAUUCUGACUUUUGUAGGUUUUUUUGUAAACACCUAUAAUCUGGUUGAGGAAAUUCCUUUUAGUUUAUUAUGUGUUUUGUUUUAAUUGUUUUUAGUUGUAGAUGGACAUAAUACCUCUAUUUCUUUUAUUUAUUUGUUUGUUAAUUUAUUUAUUUCUAUGUGGUGCUGAGGAUUGAACCUAGUGCCUCACAUAUACUAGGCAAGCACUCUGUCACUGAGCCACAACCCUAGCCCUGCCAUGUGUUUUUAAACUUUUGAGUUGUGAUGGAUUUUUUCCAAUGCUUUGUGAAUUGAUGGAAUCAUUUGACUUAUAUCGACUGCCAGUAUGUUGGGUGACAUCAAUUUUCAACUCAAUUAGUGUUAAAACGCCUUUGCAUUCCUGGGAAAAAAAUCUCAUUUGGUUAUAGUGCUUCAUACUUUUCACAUAGUAAAUUUUUCUGUUAUUUGUUUUUGUGGUGUUGGGGAUUGAACCCAGGGACAUUCUUCCCUGAGCUGCUGCAUCCCUUGCCCUUUUUAUUUUAUUUUGAGGCAGGGUCUUGCUAAGUUGCCCAGGCUGGGCUUGAACUUGGAAUCCUCCUGCUUCAGCCUCCUGAGUUGUUGUGAUUACAGGUGUACACCACCAUCCCUGACCUGUAAUUUUCUUUCCUUUUCCUUUUAUUCUUUUUUUACCCUAAGUACUGGGAAUCAAACUCAGGGCCUUACACAUGUUCGACAAGUACUUUAUCAGUGCACUAUCCCUUUUAAAUUUUUGAGGUCCCCCCCUCUUCCUCAAGUGCUGGGAUUGAAACUAUGGCUUCCAGCAUGCUAGGGAAAUGCUCUUACCAAUGAGUCAUCUCUCCAGCCCCCUUUUAAACUUUUGAAAUAGAGUUUUACUAAGUUGCCCAGAUUGGCCUAGAAUUGUGGUCUUCCUGUUUUCAUUUUAGAUAAUGUUGUGGCCAAAAUAUCUGAUGAGAACAACUUAGAGGAGGAAAAGUUUAUUUGGUGCUCAUGAUUUCAGAGUUUUCAGUCCUUAGAUGGCCGACUCCAUUGCUCUAGGAAUAAAUUGAGGCAACACAUCAUAGGGGAAGGGCCAGAAGAGAAAAGUUCCUCAGCUCAUGGUGGGCUCAGGAAGCAGAAAUCUAGUGAAAGGGGUAGGGGCCCCCAGGAUGAUGUACACUUCCAGGGCAUGCCUCCAGUGACCCACCUCCUCCAGCCAGGCCCCACUUGCCUAACUAUCCAGUUAGGAUGGCCCCAGGAGCUCUCAUAAUCUAAUCGCCUCACCUCUGCAUUGACAGGAGCUUUUGUCCAAACUAUAACAGUCACUAUUCCUUUUUGAAAUUAAAAAAUUUUGCAAGGGUUUUGCUAAAUUGCUUAGGGUGUUGCUAAGUUGCUAAGGCUGGCUUUGAACUUGCGAUCCUCCUGCCUCAGCCUUCUGAACUGCUGGGAUAUGGGUGUGCCACAGUACCUGGCUUAAGUACCUUUUUUUUUUUUUUUUAAAGUAGUACAGGGAGAUAGAGUUUGUAGUGCUUGAUAUUAAAAUGUAUUGCAGAGAUACAGUAAAUAAAGCAGCAUAGCAUGGUACUGAUGUGAGAAUGGAAAAGGCUCACUAGACUAGGUUUUAAAGUCAAAUGGUCAAAUAUAUGCAGGAAUUCACUGUUUAAGUGUAGGUAGUCCUUGAGAAACCUAAUUAUCUGGAGGAAGAAAAUUACAUGCAUGCUUCAUACUGUAUUCUGAUAUAAAUUAAAGAAGGAUUGGGAUUUUUUCCGUUUAAAAAAGCCAUAAACUGGGGCUGGGGUUGUGACUCAGUGGUAGAGCGCUUGCCUAACAGGCGUGAGGUGCUGGGUUCAAUCCUCAGCACCACAUAAAAAUAAAAAAAACAAAAGGUAUUGUGUUCAACUACAACUUAAAAAAAAAAAAAAGCCAUAAACUGUGGGUGGUGGCAUACACCUGUAAUCCCAGCAGUUCGGGAGGCUGAGGCAGAAGGGUCAUGCAUUCAAAGCCAGCCUCAGCAAUUCAUAGAGGCCCUGAGCAAUUUAGGGAAGCCGUGUGUCAAAAUAAAAAGAGCUGGGGAAAUAGCUCAAUGGUAAAACACCUUUGGGUUCAAUCCUUGCUACCAAACAAAUAAACAAAAACCCCAAAAGUAGGUGCCAAUAAGGUAAAUAAAUAUUUGCUUUGUGGUGGUGAGAGAGGUAGUAUGUAUUGGGCUAUAUAAAUGUAUGUUUACAAUAAAAGUAAUGGAUGUUGUGGCUUAAAAUAACCCAAAUACUUCAGAGUAUAAAGACAGUUCCAGGGGCUGGGGCCAAGGCUCAGUGGUAGAGCCCUUGCCUAGCAUGUGUGAGGCACUGGGUUCAAUCCUCAGCACCACAUAAACAAAUAAACAAAAUAAAGGUAUUGUGUCCAUCUACAACUAAAAACAUAUUUACCCCCCCCCUAAAAAAAAAGACAAUUCCAUCUUUUCAGAGUUGUAAACACUGCUAAUGGUUCCUAAGAUAUAUAUUCAAACAUUUUCUUUACAUACAUAUAGUGCUCUCUUCCUUUAAUAAUUUAAGAAGUUAAGCUGUACAGUUCUGCAGCUUUCAUUUUUCAUAAUAUGUGAUUAUGUUUGCAUAUCUGUAUGUAGAGCACUAUGGUUUGUUUCUCAAAACAUUUAAAAAUGUUUAAAACCCUGUGGUGAAUUUGAAAGAUUUUUACAGUGAGUAUUCACAUACUCACUACCUAGAUCUUACUAACUUUUUACUCUCUCUCUCUUUAUCCAUAUAACUCUUUCUAGAAUCAUGGGCAGUGUAUCAUAACAUAACAUUUGCUGUCUUAACUUUUUUUUUUUCCUGGUACAAGGGAUUGAACCCAGGGGUGUUGAACAACUGAGCUACUUCUCCAGCCCACCCCCACCCCCCUUUUUUUUCUUUUGAGACAGGGUCUUGCUAAGUUGCUUAGGGCCAUGCUAAAUUGCUGAGGAUGGCUUUGACAAACUCGUCAUCCUCCUGCCCAUCUCCUGAGUCAUUGGGAUUACAGGUGUGCAUCACCACACCCAUUUAACCAUUUUAUAAAUGUCGAGGUGUCAAUUAUAUUCCCAUUCUUGUACAACUGAUCUCUUAACUUUUAUCUGCAAAUGGAAACUUUAUACCCAUUAAACAACUUUUUUCUCUCUUCCUCAACUCCUGAUAACCACUAUUCUACUUUUCAUUUCUGAGUUUGACUCUGAAGACCUCAUCAGAGUGAAAACAUGCAGUAUUUGUUUUUUGCAACUGACUCAUUGCACUUAACAUAAUGUUUUCAAGAUUUAAUCCCAACCAUUUGAGAAGUGAGGCAGGAAGAUUUGCAAGUUCAGAAUUAGUCUUAGCAAUUUAGUGAGACUCUGUGCAACUUAGGGAGACACUGUCUCAAAAAAGGGAUGGGGUUGUGGCUUAGUGAUUAGGCACCCCUGGGUUCAAUCCCUGGUAAGGGGGGGGGAGGGGGGAACCUGUGUUGUGGUAGGUAUCAGAAUCCCCACCCUGUACUAUGGGGGAAAUGAAUCCAGGGGUGUUCUACCUCUGAGCUACUUCCCUAGCCCAUUUUAUUUUUUAUUUUUGAGGCAGGGUCUCACUAAAUUGCUCAGGCUGUUUUUGAACUUGUGAUCCUCCUGCCUUAGCCUCCCAAGUAGCUGGUAUUAUAGAUCUGUACUACCUUGUCCAGCCAGAUUUUUUUUAAAGAUUGAAUAAUAUUCCAUCGUGUGUAUAUAUUACAUUUAUUCUUUUAGACAUUUAUGGACACUUGGUUUGCUUCCACAUUUUGGCUUUUGAUAUAAUGCUGUUAUGACCAUGGGUGUAUAAAUAUAUUUUUGAGACCCUACUUUGAAUUGUUUUCUUUUGUAUAUAUGCCCAGAAAUGGUAUUAUGAGAUUAUAUAUCCAUUUUAAUUAAUUGAUUGAUUAAUGAAUUAUUUCUAGUAACAGGGAUUGAGCCCAUGGGUGUUUAACCCCUGAGCCAUAUUCCCAGCCCUUUUUAUGUUUGAUUUUGAGACAGGGUCUUACUGUGUUUUGGAGGCCUCACUGAGUUGCUGAGGCUGGCUUUGUACUUGUGAUCCAUCUUCCUCAGCCUCCUAGGUAGCUGGGAGUAUAGGUGUGCAACACCAUGCCCAGCUCCAUUUUUAAUUUUUUGAGGGACUGCCAUACUAUUUUUACUUUCUAUUUGUCUGCAUCAUUUUAUAUUCCCAUUAGCCCUGCACAUCUACAUUGUUUUAUUUUGUAAUUUUGAUAGCAGCCAUUAUAAUCAAUAUGAAAUGAUAACUUGUGUUUUCGAUUUGCAUUUCCCUAAUGAUUAGUGAUGUUGAGCAUCUUUUUCUAUGUUUUUAGCCAUUUGUAUAUCAUUUUUGGAGAAAUUUCAAUUCAAAUUCUUUGCCCAUUUUUGAUUUGGGUUAUUUGUUUUGUUGUGGACUUGUAGGAGUUCUUCAUGUAUUUGUACAUCCCUUAUCAGAUGACUUAUUAGUUGUCUUUUCAUGAUGUUGAUUGCAUCCUUUGAUACCCAGAAGUUUUAAUUUUUUAUAUAGUACCGUUUGUUUGUUCUUUCUUUCUUUUUUUUUUUUUUUUUGGUACCAGUUAUUGAACCCAGGGUUGCUUUAUCACUGAGCCUUAAUUCCCCCGCCCAGCUUUUUAAAAAUCCUUUUCCAGACACGGGAGCUAAGUUGCUUAGGGCCUUGCCACAUUGCUGAGGUUAACCUUGAAUUUGAGAUCCUCCUUCCUGAGCCUCCUGAGUUGCUGGAAUUAUAGGCCUGUGCCAUCACGCCCAGCUCUGGCUCUGGUCCUCUUUUUGAUGGAGGCAUAUUCGUUUGUUAUUUGGUUACUCAGCAGUCUGAUUUACUAGUUCCUAAGGGGAAUUCAGAUCAUGUCCAGAUUUAUAAUGUUACAAAUAUGGCUUCAGGAAAUAUUAUUUACAUAUUUUUUACGUACUUGUAGCAGUCUCAAUUUUUGUGUUGAACUUGAUGGGUCAAAGGUUGUCCAGUUAAGGCUGAAGAGUGCCCAGUUGUGCUCAAAAGGGAUAUAAGAUUUUACAUCAUUGGAGGAUAGCUCUUUGUACCUAUGGUAAGUCACUAGAUGAAAAAAAUCUGUUUUUUUAUUUUGAUUUCAUAUUUAUGUUUAUAUGGCUGUGGUUUAGCAUCUUUUUUAGAUGUUAAUUGGCCACUUCUGUUUCUGUUUCUCUCUUUAUCCUUUGCCAGUUCUUUGAAUUGUUGGUGUUUUUCUCAUUGAUUUGUUACAGCUUUGUCUAUGUGUGAUAUGUUUUCUAAUCCUCCUCCCAUUUUUCUUUAGACUUUGUUUAUGACUAUGUUUGUGUAUGCAUACCCUACAUGCAUUUCUAUUAUUAUUAUUAUCAUUAUUAUUAUUAUUUUGGCUCUUGAAUUCAGGGGGACUCGACCACUGACCACAUCCUCAGCCCUAUUUUGUAUUUUAUUUAGAGAUAGGAUCUCUCUGAGUUGCUUAGCACCUCGCUUUUGCUGAGGCUGGCUUUGAACUCGGGAUCCUCUUGUCUCAUCCUCCUGAGCCUUUGGGAUUACAGACAUGCACCACUGUGCCCGGCCUCAUGUUUAUUAUGUUUUUUGUCACAUUUGUAAAUAUUUUUCCUUAUAAGAUUCUCGGUUUUGUCUCAUUUUUUUUGAAAGCAGGCUUAAUAAAAGUAAGAUAGAAUCCAUUAAAGUCAAGACUUGAUUACCUAAGAAUGAAAAAACUUCUAGGUCAAAAUAUUACUCCUACAUGAUUAGAAGUGUAGGGAGGGUAAAAAAGGAGAAAAAUCAUCCAAAUCUUUUACUCAGUGGCAAACAUCAUUGAUAUUUCACCAUACUUAUUUUUUUCCCCUAGUCUUUUCUUUCUACUUGUUUUAGUUUGUGGUGUCAUUAUUAUGUAAUGUGUUCACUGACCUUGAAAAGAUAACUCCCCCCACUGGGGAUUGAACCCGGGGUACUUUGUUUUUGAGCUAUAUCCCCAGAUUUUUUUAAUUUUAAUUUUUAUUUUGAGGCAGUGUGCCUAAGUUGCUGGGGCUGGCCUUGAAUUUGUGAUCUUCCUGCCUUCUGGAUUACAAGUCUGUGCCAUCAUGCCAGGAAAUGACACACUUUUUUUUGUUUUGUUUUGUUUUUAAACUAAGAAGGAAUAGAUGUCUCUUAAUACUUGUGAGCUGGAGUAAAGGGAGUAUUGAUAUUUAGAAGGUCAUUAUGAUGAAUUCAGAAACCUGGUCAUGUAAAAGUGACUGCAAGUUGUAUUUUAUUUUCCUUCCUUCUAUUGUACAACUUUCCUUCACUGUUUAGUAAUGUUCUCUUUUAGCAUUGCGUUUGCUUUUUUCUUUUAAACAUGCAAUGGCAGACAUAGAAAAGAGAAUUUUAUUCCAUAUUUGAAUUGGAGCUUUAAACAGAAAUCAUUGUGCCUCUGGGAGUGUGCUGUGCAUAGUGGUAGCAGUGUUAAACAUACAGAGAAAACCGUUUUCUCUGCAAAGGAAGAUAAAAUUCAGUAAAUCUCUGUUUAGUUGCCCUUCUCUACUUCAGAAGGCUUCCUUCUAGUUCUGUCUUGAGUAAAAUCUUGGCUAUUUUGCCUCAAUAAGUACAUUUCAUUAUGUGGAAAGAUAACUAGUUACAAUAAAAAAUGAUCAAUUAAUUGCUGCGGUUGCCUACUUUAAGUACUUGUGUACUUGUCUAUGUGUGAUGUUUUCUUUUUUCUUUUUCUUAAAAUUUUUUUUAAUAUUUAUUUUUUAGUUUUUCCGUGGACACAACAUCUUUGUUUGUAUGUGGUGCUGAGGAUCGAACCCAGGCCGCACACAUGCCAGGCGAGCGCGCUACCGCUUGAGCCACAUCCCCAGCCCAUGUGUGAUGUUUUCUAAUCCUCCCCCCAUUUUUCUUUAGACUUUGUUUAUGACUGUGUUUGUGUAUGCAUACCCUACAUGCAAUUCUAUUAUUAUUAUUAUUAUUAUUAUUAUUAUUAUUGUUUGGAAAGAUAACUUGUUACAAUAAAAAAUGAUCAAUUAAUUACUGCGGUUGCCCACUUUAAGGUAGUUGAAAAGGAAGAGUGGCAUUGAGGAUGAGAGCACACCUCCCAGGAGAGGUGAGAUUUUAUCUGGGCUUGGUUGUUUUGAGCAAGAAUGUGGAAGCACUGAUUAUGUUUGACAUCUGGAAAAGUGCUUUUCAGAGACAAUUGCCUUGUCCUGGUAGCUUCAGAGCAUUUCUUUGACUGGUUUUUGGGAAUAUUUCAUCAAAUAGUUUGAUAAUUUGCAAAACUUAAAUAAAAUAGCAUGUGAAAAUUUAUUUUUUUGCUUGUAUGGUUGAGAGCUUUUUUUCUGACUAGUAGGCUCUAAUUAUUGCCAGCCUAUUCAGCAUAGUUAAUUUUAUGUUAAUCUCUCUGUGUGGAUUCUGUAUAUAGAUAUGGCCUCUAUUCCAGUUUUUUACCCCUAGUGCUGGAGAUUGAACCCAGGUCUUUAGGUACUAGGCAAGCACUCUGCCAUUGAGGUACAUCCCCAGCCCAAAAAUUCUUUCUUUCUUUCUUCUUCUUCUUCUUUUUUUUUUUUUUUAAUAUAUUUUAGUUUUUGGUGGGCACAAUAUCAUUAUUUUAUUUUUAUGUGGUGCUGAGGAUUGAACCCAGUGCCUCAUGCAUGCUAGGCGAGCACUCUACCACUGAGCCACAACCCCAGCCCUUAAUCUUGUUGUAUGGAUAAUGGGCACUAUUUUAAGAACUGUUUCGAAAGUAGUAGAAAACCUAUCUCACAGUGGUAGAAGGAAGAAAAGGGAAUUUAUUGGUUUGUUACUGAAAAAAUCUCAAGGAGGAACUUUAGAUAUGGUUGAAUUCACUGUUUAAAUAGAAGCAUCAUAAAGAUUUUUUUUUUCUUUUUUCUGCUUUAGGAUGUUGCUUUGGGCCUUAAUGGACCAAGAAAUCUGUUGGCUUCAGCCUCAUGUCAUCAGGUUUAAGUCCAGUGGCUGCUGGAGUGAAAAUAAAAAACUAUUUCAUCUCAUUGUACUCCUGCCUUGGCUUGAGCUUGCCCAUUUCUAAACCAGUUACUGUGGCCAGGAGGAUGGAAAGUGCUAAUGCUUUACUGUUAGUGUUGGUUCCCACUUUGUAGAGUGAGCACAGAGGAGGGAAUGAAUCUUUUUCUCACAAGAAUGUUGAAUGGGCUGGGCGUUGUGGUACAUGCCUAUAAUUUUAGCACCUUGGGAAUCUGAUGCAGGAGGAUUGCAAGUUCAAAGCCUUAGCAAUUUAGUGAGACCCUAAGCAUCUUAGUGAGACCCUGUCUUAAAAAAAAAAAACAGGGGCUGGGAAUGUAGCUCAGUGGUUAAGUGCUCCUAGGUUCAAACCCCAGUACCCCACCCCCCAAAAAAUUGAAUAUCCUUAAAUUGCUAAGAACACAGCAUACCUUAAGCAUCAUAGGGUCUGUGGCCUCAGUAGCAACUACCAAAAAUAAUUAUACUUUUAACUGAGAAAGGUUUUCCUAUCAUCAGGCUGUCAAAGUCAUCUGUACCUUUAAAAAGUAUUUUUUUUACCAAUAAAAAUAACACUUUUGACUGAGAAAGAUCUAUUUUUUAACCUAUCAUCAGACUCUCAAAGUGGUCUGUACUCUUAAAAAGUAUUAUUUAUUUAUUUUGUUGAAGUGCUGGGACUAGAACUAAAGGCCUCACAUAUGCUAGGCAAGCACUUUGCCACUGAAUGUGUGGGCAUGGUGGUACAUGCCUGUAAUCCCAGCAACUCAUCUGUAAUCUCAGCAAGGCAGGAUGAUGAGGCAGGAGGAUUGCAAGUUCGAGGUCAGCCUCAGCAAUUUAAAAUUUAAAGAUUAAAAUUUAAAAAUUAAAAGGGCUGGGAAUCUAGUUCAGUGGUAAGAGUGUCCCUGGGUUCAGUUCUCUGUAGUGCCCCAAAUACCCCCAACCAAAAACAGUAUUGAUAGCGGGUCUAGGGAGCAAAUGUCAUUUUAACUGAAGUCUGCAACUAACAGAGGAAUUCAUGAGAAUCACAGUUGAGGGGUAAUAGAAUUGGAUUACUUUAAUCCAGUGACAAUAAGGUGUUGAAGACAGUGUAGUGUAUAUUUGGUUAGUCUUAAUACAGUGCGUAUUACCUGACUCGCUAGUUAAUGGAACUAUAGUAAUGCUUAAAUGUUUGUUCAAAUAGAUUAUUAAAAAAAAAAAAUUCUGAAGAGUUUAAAGUUACUUUUUUUUUUUUUUUUUUUGGUGGUGCUGGGAACCCAGGGCCUUGUGUGUGUGAGGCAAGCACUCGACCACCUGAGCUAUAUCCCCAGCCAUAAAUUUAAAUUUACAUUUUUAAAAUCAAAAUUAUUAUUCAUCAGCUUUUAUACCAUAUAGUCACAAGUGAGAAUUGUAGUAUAGGGAAAGUUGGAAUGAGAGAUGUAGCCUAACACUAAUUAGGACCUGAGAUUUCUAUACCAGCUCCAUUAAAAAAAAAAAAAAUUUUUUUUUGUAGUUGCAAAUGGACAGAAUGCCUUUAUUUAUUUUUAUAUGGUGCUGAGGAUUGAACCCAAUGCUUUGCACGUGCUAGGCAAGCACUCUGCCACUGAGCUACAGCCCCAACCUUACCAGCUCCAUCUUUAAAGUAUGUAUUUUAGUCCAUAUUUUUAUCAGGAGUGGCCCAACAUCCCUAGAUUUUAAAGCUCACUUUUUACCUUAAACAUCAAGUCCUUUUACUGAGAUUGUUUUGUAGAGUGAUACUAACAUUGUUGGUUUCCUACUCAUAUCCCUUCUUUUUGGUUGACUGAACCUAGUAUGAAAUCUUGAUCUUCUAGUGUGGAUCAAAGUUGGUUCUUUAAGACAACAUGAAACUAUUAUGUUCCUAGGUAAGGAAUGUUUUAAGGCAAUGUCUUAGAAUUAGGGUUUUUAAACUUUUUUGUUAGAGAUUUGUCAUUUAUUUUUGUGAAUUAUGGAUACUUUAAGUUAUUCCUCUCUUCCAACAAUUGUCUGACUGAUGUGGGUUGUGGAAAGUUUGAAAACAGAAAAACAAAGAAGCAGGGAAAAAGUAAUCUUAUUAUUAUUAUUUUUUUUUAAAGAGAGAGAGAAUCUUCUAAUAUUUGUUUUUUAGUUUUCGGCGCACACAUCUUUGUUUGUAUGUGGUGCUGAGGAUCGAACCCGUGCCGCAUGCAUGCCAGGUGAGCGUGCUACCGCUUGAGCCACAUCUCCAGCCCAGUAAUCUUAAUUUUAUUAUAUAAUUACACUUAAUGGCCAUAGUUCCCUUUUGGAAUUUGAUGAGAGUUAUAAAUCUUCCUCCCCAAAAAGAUAUAUACAGUAAAUAACUAUAUAUGAUUCUGAAACCUGUUUAUCAUAAGCUUUUUUGUUUGUUUGUUUUGUGGUGCUGGGGAUUGAACCCAUGGCCUUGUGCAUGCAAGCCACAAACCCAGCCCCACCUUCACUGUUCUUGAAGAGUUGUUUUAUCUUUCUGUUCCAUCUAUAAUAGACUUUCAUUCAGUGCUAAGACCUCACAAGUCUGAUUUCUUUGCUCCUGAUUAAAUAUAAUCUGAACUUCCAAAGGUUAAGAUCUCCUCUUGCUAACAGCGUAUUUCUGUUCUUUUUUUUUUUUUAAGAGUAUAUUCCCCCCCCCAAUACAUUUUAUUUAUUUAUUUAUUUUUGUGUGGUGCUGAGGAUCAAACUCAGGGCCUUGCACGUGCGAAGGGCUCUACCCAUGAGCUACAACCCCACCCGCGUAUUUCUGUUCUUUAAGUAGGUAAACUUUUGACAUGUUGACCUCUCACCCUUAGAAUAAUUUCUGAGGCACCAAAGCGUUAUGGUUUUCUUCCUAUCCCCCACCAUUCCUUAGUUUAGUGUGUUUUUUUCUCUGGGUCUUAAACAUUAGUGUGUUCUAUAGCAUAACUUUGAUCUUUUCGCUUUUCAAAUUUCCUGGUUCACUGUUAUGGAAUUAUUUAUCCUAAUUAAAGCCUUUGGACAGUAAGUGAGCCUUAUAACACUGAUAGGAAUUUAUAAAGAUUACCAUGUUAUUUAUUUAAACAUUUUAAAUAUAAAAUAAAAUCAUCUAGGUUAUGCAAAAUUUAUACUGUACUUCUUGUGUAUCUGGAAUUAAUUUAUAAAUGCACCAAUUUAAAUAUUGUUAUUUAGCUAGAGUUGGACUCAAAUCUUAGAAGCUACCUAGAAAAUUUUAAAAUCCUUUUUGUUAGCUGAAAUGAGAACCUGCAAGCUAAGAAGUAAGUACAUUAAGCACUUUAAAAACAUAUUUAGUUGUACUUUCUCUGUAGUGUUAAUUUUAAAUCUGAGUGAUUAUUCAUAUUGCCACAUAGUAGUUUCUAAAAAUUGUGUUUUGUCCCUCUCUGGGCAAGAUGGCUGGGGGCAAGGCUGGAGCGACUCUGGGGCAGACACACCUUUCUCGGCAGAAUCUUGCCACCUUGGAUGUUAGUUACCAAGUUGACACCACUAUCACAUGAAGUUAUCAGCAGACAAGCCACAAUUAAUAUAGGUACAAUUGGUCAUGUAGCUCAUGGGAAGUCCACAGUUGUAAAAGCCAUUUCUGAAGUUCACACUGUCAGGUUCAAAAACGAACUAGAAAGAAACAUUACAAUCAAGCUUGGAUAUGCUAAUGCAAAGAUUUAUAAACUUGAUGACCCAAGUUGUCCUCGGCCAGAAUGUUAUAGGUCAUGUGGAAGUAGCACACCUGAUGAGUUUCAUAUAGAUAUUCCAGGGACCAAAGGGAACUUCAGAUUAUCCAGAUUAUUAUUUCCUUUGUUGACUGUCCUGCCCAUGAUAUUUUGAUAGCUACUAUGCUGAAUGGUGCAGCAGUGAUGGAUGCAGCUCUUCCUUUGAUAGCUGGUAAUGAAUCUUGUCCUCAGCCUCAGACUUCUGAACACAUAGCUGCUAUAGAAAUCAUGAAACUGAAGCAUAUUUUGAUUCUACAGAAUAAAAUUGAUUUGUCAGGCUAAAGAACAGCAUUUGUACAAGGUAGCAGAAGGAGUUCCCAGUAUUCCAUUUUCUGCUCAGCUGAAAUACAUUAUUGAAGUCAUCUGUGAGUAUACAUAGUAAAGAAAGUACCAGUACCCCAAGAGACUUUACUUCAGAACCCUGACCUUUUUAUUAGGUCAUUUGAUGUUAACAAGCCUGGUUGUGAAGUUGACGACCUUAAGGGAGGUGUUGCUGGUGGUAGUAUUUAUUCCAAAAGAAGUAUUAAAGGUGGGCCAGGAGAUAGAAGUCAGACCUGGUAUUGUUUCCAAAGACAGUGAAGGAAAACUCAUGUGUAAACCAAUCUUUUCCAAAAUUGUAUCCCUUUUUAUCAAACAUAAUGAUCUUCAGUAUGCUGCUCCAGGGGGUCUUACUGGAGUUGGAACAAAAAUCGUCCCUACUUUGUGCCAUGCUGACAGAAUGGUGGGGCAGGUACUUGGUGCUAUUGGAGCUUUACCUGAGAUUUUCACAGAAUUGGAAAUUUCCUAUUUCCUGCUUAAACGACUUGUAGGUAUACGCACUGAUGGAGAUAAGAAAACAGCAAAAGUCCAAAAACUUUCUAUGAAUGAAGUGCUCAUGGUGAACAUAGGAUCACUGUCAACAGGAGGGAGCGUUAGUGCUGUCAACGCCGAUUUGGGCAAAAUUGUUUUGACUAAUCCUGUGUGCACAGAAGUAGGAGAAAAGAUUGCCCUUAGCCAAAGAGUUGAGAAACAUUGGUGUUUAAUUGGUAUGGGUCAAGUAAGAGGAGUGACAAUCAAGCCAACCGUAGAGGAUGACUAAAGAAUCCCAGUUAAAUAAUGCAUUUGGAUGGGGCUGGAAUUUCUCUUAACAACCUAAGGGUAUAUUUUCAGAGCAAUACUAUGGAAUUAAUUUCUCAGCUCAUUACCUUAGUAGAUAGCUGUAAGGUUGUUAUUAUUUUUUGAUGAAAAUUUAACCUCUAGCACUAAUACAGCAUCUACAAUAGUGUAAAAAUUGGUGUAAUGUUGGAUUGAAUCUACAUUUUAACAAAAGUUAAACAUUCCCAGGUAAUGUAUAAUUUAUACAUCCAUGCAGGUUUGAAAUGAAACUGUUUGCCACAGCCAGCCUUUGCUGUAGCAUGCAUGCCAUGGAAUCUGUUUGAAAUAAAAAUUUUUCCUCUUCAAAAAAAAAAAAUGUGUUUUGUAGUUUCAUAAACAAUUCUAGUGGAAUGAGGUUUUGUGUGAUAAACACUGCCCUCCUGUGUUUAGAGUAAGGUAAAUGCUUUGCAAACUACUCUUUUCACUCACAUUAAACUUGUGGUAAUAGAGGUAGUACUUUUAAAAAAUAUUUAUUUUUUAGUCAUAGUUGGUCACAAUACUGUUUAUUUAUUUAUUUAUUGUGAUGAGACUUGAACCCAGGGCGUCGCACACGCUAGGCAGCUCUACCGCUGAGCCACAACCCCAGCCCUUAGAGUGUAGUAUUUUAGUCAAAAAUAUAUGGCCAUAUUGUUUCUUUCCCCUCCCUCCCUCCCUCCCCCUCUCCCUCCCUCCCUCUCCUCUCCCCCUCCCCUUCCCCCUUCCUUGCCCUCUCCCUCCCCCUCCCCCUCCCUCUCCCUCUUUCUCUCCCUCUCCCUCUAGCAUUUCCUUAAUUUUUCCUCACUUAUGUGUUUUUGGUUUUUUUUGCAUUGGGGAUGAACUCCGUGGUACUCAACCACUGAGGUACAUCCCCAGUCCUAGUGACAGGGUCUCACUGAGUUUCUUAGCACCUCACUUUUUCUGUGAAUGGCUUUGAACUCACAGUCCUCUGCCUCAGCCUCCUUGGCCUAUGUGUAUGUUUUGUUAUGUGAAUUAAAUAGAGUUGAAAGCAAAAAUUACUAAGCUAUUGAAGGGGAGGGAAGGUACAUUUAAUUGUAGAAGUGCUAAAAGAAAAAACUAAGCAGGAUGUGGUGGCACAGGCCUGUUGUUAUCCCAGCUACUUGAGGCUGAGGCAGGAGGAUUUAAAGUUCUGAAAUAGCCUGUGCUACUUAUGAGACCCUGUCUCAAAAAAAAAAAAAAAAAAGAAAGAAAGAUUGGGAAAUGUGAUAGAGCACUUGCCUAGGAUGCACAAAGUCUUGGAUUCAAUUCCCAGUACUGAAAAAAAAAAUUAACAGUUCAUAACCUCUAUGGAAAAUGAAUAGUAAUAAAAAAAUGAAUAAUAAACUAGAAAAAGUGUUUUAUUGUAUGUACAAUAGCAAAAGUUUUAAUAUGAAAUACAGAGCUGAUACAAAUGGUGUAUAGACCAAGGUCAUGAAUAACCAGUUCACAAGUAAGGAAAUAUAGGUAUUAAAGUACAAACAUUAGGUCUUAUUAUAAUAACUGUGCUUGCCCAUAGCAUCUUCCUUCCCAUGCAGACUUGGCUUCAGGGUUCCUUGCUACCAUGGCCUGUGAUAAUUGGAAUAACUGGCAGAACAGGCCUGGAUGAUCUAGAAAUUUUAGUAGGAAGGACUGAAAAAUAUGCUGAUACUACAUCUGGUACCUUAAUCUGGGGGAAGAUAAAAAAUGUUGAUUGCACCCUCCUUGCAAGACACGGGAGGCAGAGCACCAUCAUGCCUUCAGAAAUCAACUACCAGGUGAAUAUCUGGGCUCUGAAGGAAGAGGACUCUACACGCCGUCAUACUGAUGACAGUAGAUUCAGCCCAGAGAUAACGUUAUCAUUGAUCAGUUCAUUGACAGGAGCAUUCCAAGGCCCCAAAGCUUCUAUGAUGGAAGUCAUUCCUGUGCUAGAGGAGUGUACCAUUUUUCAUUGGCUAAGCCAUUUUGCCCCCCAAGUGAGAGAGGUCCUCAUAAAAGGAUAUAAGAAACUAGGACUCUGGUGGCACUCAAAGGAAACAGUAGUCAAAAUUGAGGGAUCUCGUUUUAGCUCCUGAGCAGAAAGCUUGUGUUCCACAACUGGGUGUGGUGGGGUAGGGGAGUAAUUGGAUGCUCUCAAUAUGAUCACAGUUUCAGAGGUGCUUCUUGCUGAGGAGACUGGAAUGUAGGCAUUGCCAUGGCAAUAGAUUAUGAUCGCUGGAAGGAGUUCAAGGAAGCAGUUUCAGUUGACUAGAUUUUAAAGACCUUGAAAUAAAAUGCCAGUAAAGCCAAAAGUUUACUCUCCUCACUACCAUACCUCAGAUAGGGCCCAUGGAAUGAUCAGAAACCUUCCAUACACAUAUGGCACAGUUUGCUGGUUUAUUACCAAGAUACUUUUCUUCUUUCCUCAGAAGAAAAGAAGACUUUCCAGUCAUUUUGGGUAUUUUAUUUUAACUUGAAGGGGGAAAAGAUCUUGGGGAAGACAUGAAGCUUUCAUGUUCUUGCCUGUAAAAGAAGAAAGAAAAGACAUUGCAUGUAUUGGAGACUCCACCUGAAAGACUUAGACUUAUUCCUGAACACAGAGGAAAAGCAAAAUAAACAUGGGGGAACUCUUACAUUUUUUGGGGAAAAAGAACCCUAGAAGGUAACAUUCUCACCUUGCCUCCCCUUUCUAAAUUUGCAACAAUGAAGGUUGGAGGGUGAUAUUCAUUUUCCUGUGUUGCCAAGAAAUAUGAGGAAGUAAUGGGACACUGGCUUUUAUUGUGAAUGGGUAAAAUCUUUGUGGAGAGCAGUUUGGUAAAAAUUCAUCAGAAGGCUUAGAAAUACUUAUGCACUUCGUUGGGUACUCCUAGGAAUUUCUCUAAAAAAUUCUGAAAAUACAUAUAAAAAAUUAUGAAGAGGAAUAUUUAAUAGUUAUUGUUAGUUAUAAUAACAGCUAUACGAAACUAUCCAACAAUUGGAGGUCAAUUAUGGUUUAAUUAGAUUGUAAAACAGUCAGCUGAGGAUCAUGUUUUCAUGUAAUAUUAAAUGUCCUAAAGAAAUGGUUGCUGUAUGAUAUGAAAUGGAAAAAAGUAAUUUCCAGUACUAGUUUUGUUUUAAAAUGCUAUGCAAAUGUAAAAAGACUAGAAUGAAAUAUUACAUACUAUUUUGUUAUUGUAGUUGGGCGAGGAAUACUAAAUAUUAUUUUUAAAUUUUCUUUGUAUAUUCACAUUUUUGUGCAAUUAUUAUAAUAAAAUAAUAAAGUCAUAAAAGUAAUUACAAACAUCAUUAGACUUUAUACUAGUAUUGUAUAAUGUGAUUGUCAUAAUAGAUAAACCAUCAUCACUCAUAACUUUUGGAACAUGCUAAUUUGGAAAGUAAGCUAAUUUUUCUGAAACGGGGAAAUAUAAUAAUAGAAUCAAGUGCUAAGGGACAUCAGUCAAACACUUAGUAAUUGGAUUCCAAGGAGGGAAGAAAGUGGGGCACAAGCAAUUUUUGAAGACCUAAUGGUAAGAAUGCUCCAGGAGCCCUGUGAAUAAAUGUCUAGCAGAAAAUUACUUCUUGGCACAUGAUAAUAAAAGUGGUAAAAACUAAAGCAAAGAGUAACAGAAAAGCAGAAGAUUGGUUGGGGAAUAAGGGAUGCCCCGCUUUGUUACUAGCAAUUUACACUGAAGGAAUGUUAAAUUAAACUGAGUUAUUUUGGAAGAAAAAUAAUUUCAGAUGGAAGCUUGAAGUGGUGCUGAACAGAUGCAAAUUCUUAGAAGAUACAAAUAAGUACAUAAGUCUAAGUGCCUACUAUUUACAGCAGCAACAAAAAUGUCAUGUAAGGUGAGGUCAGGGCAGUAAUUGGGGUUAGUGUUCUGAAUUCUUUGAUAAUUAGGAAAAAAAAGAUAAGACAGAAAAUUCCAAUUUGGGAAAUUAAGCAAUACAUUUUCAACUAGCACACAAGUGAAGGAAGAAAUUAUGAUUCCAUUUAGAAAGCCAUUUGAGCUGAUAACAAAAAUACUAAUUUUAAUACUUGUGGGAUAUAGCAAAAGCUGUGAAUAAAAGGAAUUUAUGACCUUACAUUAAUCUGUUAGAAGAGAAAGAUGAUGAGAACAACCAGUAUCCAUCUCAAGAAGUUCCUCUUUUAAAGAGAAACACAUAGGAAGAACAUUUAUACCAGAAUUGACUUAAAAAGAUGUCAGUUUUUGGUAGUACUGGGGAUUGAACCCAGGUGUGUGCUCUACCACUGAGCUGUAUCUGACCUCUUUUUAAAAUGUUAAUUUUGAGUCAGAGUCUCACUAAUUUUCCCAGAUUUACCUCAAAUUUGAGAUCCUCAUGCCUCAACCUCUUAAAUAGCUGGGAUUAUAAUUGUGUGCCAGGAUGCCUAGCAGAAAAUGUCAAUUUAGUGCAAGUGUUUUGGUAAUUUCCUUCAUCUUAGAACAUCCUGAUUUCUCUCUCUCUCUGUGUCUGUCUGUCUGUCUGUCUUGUCUUUUUUUUUUUUUUUUUGUGAUGCUGGAGAUUGAACCCAGUGCCUCGUGUAUGUGAGGCAAGCACUGUACCAACUGAGCUAUAUCCCCAGCUCUCUCCUUUAUUUUAUUUUUUGUAAAUAUUUUUUUUAGUUGUAGAUGAACACAUAUCUUUAUUUAUUUUUUAUGUGGUGCUGAAGAUCGAACCCAGUACCUCACAUGUGUGAGGCAAGUGUUCUACCAAUGAGCCACAAUCCCAGCCCUUUCCUUUAUUCUUAAAGGAUAUUUUUGCUAGAUAUAGCACUUUGGGUCGGUAGUUUUUUUCUUCCUGCACUUUUUUAAAAAAAGGGUUUUUUUUAGUUUUAGAUGGACGGAAUGCCUUUAUUUUAUUUGUUUAUUUUUAUGUGGUGCUGAGGAUCGAUCCCAGUGCCUCACACACGCUAGGCAAGUACUGUACCAUUGAGCCACAGCCCCAGUCCCUUCUUGCACUUUAAAAUAUUCCUCCAUUGGGCUGGGUUUGUGGCUCAGUGGUAGAUUUGCUUGCCUAGUAUGUGUGAAGUACUGAGUUCAACUCUCAGCACCGCAUAUAAGUAAAUAAAAUAAAGAUCCAUUGACAACUAAAAUAUAUUUUUUAAAAAUAUUCCUGCUGCUUCCCUUCAUGAUUUCUGAUGAAAAACCCAUAGUCAUUUGAAUCAUCAUUCUCCUAAUUGGGAAUGAGUUAUUUUUCCCUGAUGGCUUUACAGAUUUUUUUUUUUUUUAAAGUUUUCAGUAGUUUGUGGUGUAUCUGGGUAUUUGUCUUGUGUGGCAUUUGCUGAUCUUCUGAAGUUUACUGCUGUCAUUCCCUCCAAUUUGUUUUCUGUAUUACACUCUGUCUUUUCCCUUUGUUACUUUGAUAACAUGAAUGUCAGAGCUUUUGAUUUUGACCCAUUGACUGUUCAUUUAUCCCCCCCUUCAUCACUCUUUCCUCUCAUCUUCAUUCUGCUAUUUAGUCCUCCUAAGAAACUUUUAGUUUUUAAGUUUUGAUUAUUAUAGUUUUUCAUUCUAAAAUGUUAUAUAUAAGUGCAAAUAAAUAAAACAUGUUAAUUUGUCUCAAGAAUAUUCACUCUUGAGUCUUUUGCUUGUUUUAUUUUUGAGAGAGGGUUCCUUGCCUCAGAUUCCUGAGUUAUAGUGAUCUCCUCCUUCCUCAGCCUCUCAAACUGGGACUAAAGGCACUGGCCACUCCUGGUUACCCUGACUUCUUGAAGUAAAGUUGUACUAGCUGCUUUUAGCAACAUUUCCUUGUUUUUGGUUUGUUGCUUGUCAUUUUUUUUGGUCAGUUAUUGAUCUUUUCCUAAUCUAUGUGUUUAGAGACUUUGGAUUUUAUAUUAGACAUUUUGAUGCUGUGUUAUGAUACUCUUUGUACUCUUGUUUAAAUUCUAGGGAAAGCUGAUUGUGGUGGUGUGUACCUGUAAUACCAGCAACUUGGGAGGAUCAUAAAUUUGAGGCCAGCUUGUGAUUUAGCAUGACCCUGUCUCAAAAUGAAAAAUAAAAGGAUUGCUGAUAUAACUUACUGCCCCGGGGUUCAAUCCCUGGUAACCCCUGAUCCCCCCUCACUCCCCCAAAAAUAUCCUAUGGAAAAUGUAGACUCUGUAGGGUUUUUUAAAGCAGGAUUUGACCUUAUUAGGUUCAAGUCACAAGUUUCUGUUCAUCUUCUGUGCACUAUAAUUCCAAUGUCUAGUUUUCAGAUCCUUUGCAUGGUUACUUGGAUCUGCCCUGCAUUUGUGUCACCUUGUGGCUACUUUAUGUGUUUGGUAUUGGUAUACUUGAUAGUAAUGUUGGUUAGGGUCAAAUCCACAGAUGUAUAGCACUGGGUGACCCCAGGAGUAAAGUAGAACUUCAUGAUAAGCUGGAUGCAGUGGCACACACCUGUAAUCCUAGUUACUUAAAGAGACUGAGGCAGAGGAUUACAAGGGCUGGAAGCCAGCCAGGGCAAUUUGGUGAGACCCUGCCUCAAAGUAAAAUAAAAAAGUGCUGAGAAUGUAGCUCAUUGGUAAAGUACCCUGGGGGAUUUGGGGAGGGGAGAGAAGAAGAACAACAACUGUAUGGUAUCACUUUUUUGAGCUCUCUUUUCUCUUCGAGGUCCCUGAUACUUUUUGUUUUGUUUUGUUUUUUGAGCAGGGGAGAGUACCAGGAAUUGAACCCAGGGACGCUUAAGCACUGAACCAGAUCCCCAGCCUUUUCAAAAAUAUUUUAUUUAUAGACAAGGUCUUGCUGAGUUGCUUAGGGCCUCCCUAAAUUGCUGAGUCUGGUUUUGAACUCUCAAUCUUCCUGCCUCAGCCUCCCAAAAUGUUGAGAUUACAUGCAUGCGCCACUGUGCCCGGUCUCUGACACUUUUGGAAAAACUGUGUAGAGAUUCCACAGAAGAUUAGAAAUGGAACCACCAUAUAACACAGCUACUAGAAACUCCUCCUAGAAACCCUUUCUUGUAAUCUGGCUAGAAAACUGGGUUUUUAAUUUUUAUCUUAUUUUUAAAAAUCUUUUUAAUACAUCAUAAUUAUACAUAAUAUUGGGGUUCAUUUUGAUGUAGUCAUACAUGCAUGAAAUGUAAUUUGUUCUACUUUAGUUCCCAAUAUUUUCUUUUUCCUUUCCCUCUUUCCUCCUUGAUUCCCUUUUCUCUACUGGUCUUCCUUCUUUUGAUUUAGCUCUUUUUUUUCCCCCCAAUUAGUGCUUUAUAGAUACACACAUGAACGUGAAAAUCACUGUGGUAUAUUCCUGUACGUAUGUAUGUACAUAGCAUAAUUUGGUCAAUUUCAUUCCAUAGUUCCUCUUCUUUCCCAUUCCUUUUCCUUCCUCCUUAACCCUUUUUCUCUACUCCACUGGUUUGCCUUCUGUUUUCAUGGGGCACCCCACCCACUUUUCCUUAUUUUGCUCUUGCUUCCUUCCGCAUGUGAGAGAAAAUGUUCCGUCUUUGACUUUCAGUCUGACUUAAUUUCACUUAGCAUGAUGUUCUCCAUUUCCAUCUAUUUAUACCAGCAAAUACCAUAACUUCAUUCUUUUUUAUGACUUAGUAAAACUCCAUUGUAUAUCCUUACCACAUUUUCUUUAUUCAUUCAUUUGUUGAUGGACACCUGGACAGGUUCCAUAAUUUGUGAAUUGCACUAUUGUGAAUUGCACUGCUAUAUACACUGAUGUUCUUGUAUCAGUAUAAUAUGUUGAUUUUUGUUCUUUUGGAUAAAUAUUAAAAAGUGAAAGUAGCUGUGUCAUAUGGUGGUUCCAUUUCUAGUCUUCUAUGGAAUAUAGCUUUUCAAAAUGGUCAUACUAAUUUGCAAUCCCACCAGCAAUUUAUUUUUUGGUACUGGGGAUUGAACCUCAUGGUGCCUGACCACUCAGAUACAUCCCCAAUCCUUUUUAUUUUUAAUUUUGAGACAGGAUCUUGCUAAGUUGCAUAGGGCCUCAUAAGUUGUUGAGUCUGGCCUUGAACUUUUGAGUGAUCUUUCUGCCUCAGACUCCCCACUUGUUGGGAUUACAGAUAUACGUCACUAUGCCUGGCCUCUCACUGACAAAUUUAUAAUUAUACCCUUUUCCCCACAUCCUCGUCAGCAUUUAUUAUUAUUAAUUAAUUAUUAUUAUUAUUAUUUGUAUUCUUUUUUAAAAAAUUUACAUAUGUAUGUUUUUUUUUUAGUUGUUGCUGAACCUUUAUUUUAUUCAUUUAUUUAUAUGUGGUGCUGAUAAUCGAACCCAGUGCUUCACAUAUGCUAUGCUAGUGUUCUCUCACUGAGCCCCAGCCCCUCUCCAGCCCUUUUAUUUUAUUUUUUUUGAGACAGGGUCUUACUAAGUUGCUGACACUGGCCUCAAACUUGGGAUCCUCCUUAUUUAGUCUUCCAAGUCAAUAGUGAAUAUUCAAAUUAUUAAUUUUAGCUUUUUCGAUUUAUUUCUGCUUCAGGAUAUGUCUGUUUGGGAUUGAGGGAAGAAGAUCUGGGUUGAAAAUUCUCUGGAUGUGUAUGUUUUGUAUGUAACUAUUAAGACAAUUAUUAAAUACAAUUACAUAUGUAAUUAAAAGGAUAGGAAGUUAAAAUAAGUAAUAAUUUAUUAUUAUAUACUUAUUUCUCAGGUCUUAGAAAAAUACCCCAAUACACCUAUGAGUCAUAAAGAAAUUCUUCAAGUUAUCCAGAGAGAAGGACUAAAAGAAAUCAGGUGAGUUAUUUAAAUAUUAUUAGCAACAAUUAUAAUAC
This 39976-nucleotide long non-coding RNA is filed under the name Marmota monax (woodchuck). The record is from RNAcentral. Lineage: Eukaryota; Metazoa; Chordata; Mammalia; Rodentia; Sciuridae.